ACGGACUAACGGGCCGAUUGUUGUUUCGGUUUAGGCUGUGUUCCAUUUAGUUUGCACAGCCGCUGUGAUCCCACACACGCUCACGCGGCGGCGAAUGCAAGAAAGCCAAAGACUCGACCGGGGGGGGAGGAGGAUCUCACUCACCCGGAGGAACCUGUGCGUGUUGGCUUGAAGGAAACCUGCUUCACUGAGCGGUCUGAGCCACGGCCGGACGGAGGUGCCGCUCCUCUCGUUUUCACCACCGGGGGUUUUGGAGGAAGCCCGAAUGUGGACUGGAGCGCGGAGGCGUUUUCGGGCGGGACUCUGAAGUAGUCAAACAGCAGCGGCUCCUCCUCCGAUGCCUUAUAAAAUGGUCACAGGUCACUUCUUAUAUCAGCGCAGACACCCUGUCUUCUCACCGAGGUGGGAAGUAAAGAACUCUGAUCUCCGGCGGCGGCUGAAAGAGCUCCUGGAUCAGAAGGUUCUUUGCAUGGGAGGGGAUCUUCAGGCACAAACUACUCUUUCUUUUCCCAAAAUUUGUAAAUGUUUGUAAUCGUAAUUAUAUAACCACGCUUUACACAUGGCUUCAAAUGAACAUGUUAUCAGGCGUUCCGAGCAUGCCGUGUCAGGCCCACAUACAUGCAGCCGUCCCUCCCCAGUGUGUGUACAUAGCGUAUCAAAGGGAAGCGCUCUCGCAGCCUCCCAUCUCCUUCGGCGAGGAGACGGUUACCCUCGGCAACCCAACUGUCGGCAGAACUGUAGCUUUUUUUUGGGGGGGGCGUCACAUUUGACUGUUUGGACGCGGGGACGUUUGCCGCGCGGCGGCCGGUCGCGACAGAUCGUAUCCUUUGGUGAUAAUAUUUCGGUUGCUCUUUGGGACACUUUGAAACUUAAAACGUGCCAGUUGGGAACAUUCGCACUGACGAAGAGGGCGUCGCCGAAUAAAUUAUUGGCUUUCCAUCUUUUAAAUCAUCCCAUGUUUUCUUCUUGUUUUACCAAUAUAUAUAUAUAUAUAUAUAUAUAUAUAUAUAUAUAUAUAUAUAUAUAUAUAUAUAUAUAUAUAUAUAUAUAUAUAUAUAUAUAUAUAUAAUGUGUUGUCUCUAUUUGUGUAUAAACCAUACCAAUAAACACACAUCUGGGGGUGCCAGACAGGGGGGGUCUGUAUCUUCUGGACGGGAUAAAGGGGGGGGAUGAUGGACGAAUCACAGCCAGCGAUAAACAGCACAGCGAGGCAGCGGGUUAUUUGGGGGGGGUUUUAAGACGCUAAGGCAGAAAGGGCGAAUACCUGGCGGCUUCACAAAGACAAUAGAACAUCUGCGGGGGGAUUCUCACCGGACACCGCCAGGCAGACAGAGAGGCGCUAAGUGAGGGCCGGAGGGGCGCAGAGCCGGGGGCGUUUUUAAUCGACGAGUAGAGAUGACUCGGGUGUUAUUUUCAUGAAGCGACCGUGUGAUUAGAGAUCAGCUUCUGUGUCACUUUCGUUUAACGCCGAACUGCAUUUGAGGGCCGCGAUUUGUUCUUUCACGCCGAGGGACCGACUGUGAGGAUCCUAACUGGCUCCCUCUGGGGACAAUGACCGUACGCUCUAAACAUCACUCACAGCUGUCAGAUGUUAUCAACAUCCUUACUGAUUUGUCAUUCACCUCGAAACAAAUUAAAGAACCAACCCAGGAUCGUUCUCCUUGAGGCCAAAAAAACAGCACUAUAUUUGACAAAAAAGCCUCUUAACAUUUAAUGUAAAGACGCGUUUCCUCGUCUCCUCGUCCAUCACCUGGUCCUUGUGUCACUCACAGGGGAAUAUUCUGCCUGCACAGAGAAUCAGUCCUGGAUUGGGGCUUUAAGGAUUUGUUUUGCUGCAUGCCCUCCCUUUGUUCCCCCGUGGUGAAAUGAACAGUGACACGAUUCUCCCGUUUAAUAAUAUUCAAUCCGCGUUAACAUCUAACGACAUGACUAGACGUUAUUCUUCACGGUCCUCCUGGAAUCCGGAGCUGCAGCAGCAGCAGCAGCAGCAGCUUACGGUUUGACUUUAAAUGAUGGCUUUCUCAGGAUGAAUGUAGGAUUAAGAACUAAACCUGGCUGUCCUGCGGUAACGUGGUGAACCCAAUCUGGUGACACCACGGCAGAUUAAGUAUCUAAUAGCAGCUUCACGCACUGUUUUGAUGGGUUUCUCUUUUUCCCGUUGAUUUACUGACACUGUGUAAAUAUGUCGCCCACGUCUCAAAAAAACAGUUUUUCACUUCAUUUGACAUCCCACUUCUCCUCCUUGUGCAUUUAAAGUAUCUUUUGUGCUGCUGCUUUGGUGACGGUGUGGUGCACAUAUUGCUCAUUUUGUAUUUUAUUCAAGCUGCUAAUAGAAACUUAGUGUUUUUACGACAUGUAACUGAACUUUUUGAAUUGUACCCUUACUGCCCCCCCACCCCCCCCCGACCCCCCCAAUGGGAAACUGUGCACGACGUGCACGGCUCAGUCGGCUGUGCCAAGUUACCACAACAAUAAUAUGUUAAUGUACAGAGCACUGUUAAAUUUCCUGUAUUCUCUGAAAAUAAACCCUUGUAUUUUCCUGUUAUAUGUAAAAUACUAAAGA
Long non-coding RNA from Gasterosteus aculeatus aculeatus (three-spined stickleback), 2563 nucleotides. NCBI's taxonomy places the organism in Eukaryota, Metazoa, Chordata, Actinopteri, Perciformes, Gasterosteidae. The record is from Ensembl.